GACGAACGCUGGCGGCGUGCUUAACACAUGCAAGUCGAACGGAAAGGCCCUGCUUUUGUGGGGUGCUCGAGUGGCGAACGGGUGAGUAACACGUGAGUAACCUGCCCUUGACUUUGGGAUAACUUCAGGAAACUGGGGCUAAUACCGGAUAGGAGCUCCUGCUGCGUGGUGGGGGUUGGAAAGUUUCGGCGGUUGGGGAUGGACUCGCGGCUAAUCAGCUUGUUGGUGGGGUAGUGGCUUACCAAGGCUUUGACGGGUAGCCGGCAUGGGAGGGUGACCGGCGACAUUGGGACUGCGAUACGGACCAGACUCCUACGGGAGGCAGAAGUGGGGAAUAUUGCACAAUGGGCGGAAGCCUGAUGCAGCAACGCCGCGUGCGGGAUGACGGCCUUCGGGUUGUAAACCGCUUUCGCCUGUGACGAAGCGUGAGUGACGGUAAUGGGUAAAGAAGCACCGGCUAACUACGUG
RNAcentral lists this ribosomal RNA (468 nucleotides) under uncultured bacterium. RNAcentral describes it as "partial 16S ribosomal RNA". It matches the Rfam family "Bacterial small subunit ribosomal RNA", at positions 28 to 507 of the family's 1533-position model. The record is from RNAcentral.